AAGAUGUUCCAGGACGUUUGCUUUUAAGGAAGCAAAAAACGCAGCCUCCAACCCAAGCAUCUCCAGUGUGAAAGCUUUGUGCCACAGGCCCAGGGUGAAGAAAGACGACUGUCGGAACAUGGCUGCCCACCACACCUCUACCUGCUGGUUGACCCACCAGCACCGUUUCUGUUCUGGUUCUGUUUCCUGCUCAGAGUUUCAGCAGAGAGCAACAUCCAGGAACAUCUCUGAGGUAGCGUAACGUAGCGCUUGGCAUGGAGGAGGAGACACCUGUGGCUGGGGCAACUGUCCUGAAGCAGCUGCAGUAACAGUGGAGACACACCCAGCCAGGGUCACAGGGUGACUAAGUGUGCAUUUGGAGGAAGGGCUUGGAGAGACAUGGAUGAAUUCCCUGUGAAUCAAUCAUCUUGUCAGGGGAAGAUCCGAACCCUGCUCUCCUCCGUGGGUGUGUGAUUUUCAGCAUGGGUGGCUCCUCCCUCUUCUCUCUUGAAUCUUAAAGGAUAAGUGGAAAUGGUUGAGCCUGGCGACUUGAGUUCAACUCCCAGGAUCCUCAGGAGGAGAGAACUGAAUGUGGUUGUGUCACUUCACUGCCACAGGUGUACCUUGGAAUACACGUCUGGGCACUUAGACAGACAGACAGACAGACGCUCGCACGCACGCACGUACACACAAAAUAAAAAGGAUUUUAGUUUCACAACUCAGAUCUUGAUUCUUGGAUUUCUUUCCUUUCCUAAGCCUGUUCUCCCUCCCUCCCUCCCUUGCUCCUGGCCUUCUACUCUUAGGCAUUGGGCACCUGCCAUUACAGAUGCUGUGAACAUUAUGGUACCAGCUCUGGUGUCUUCAGCCACAUAGAAGGAUCUUGGUGGUUCAGUCUCUUGCCUACCACAAGUCUUGUUUCUGUAGCUCUGGCUGACCACUCAGGGGAGUUAAGUGAGAAGGGCUUAGCUGUCUCAGGAUCUUUGCAUCUCAAGCACAAAGCUGGGCACAACAGAGUAGCCCAUUACUGGGGUGGGGGUGCCACAGAGAGCUGCCCUGGGACAGAAGAUCAGAAGCCCAAGCCUAGAGCAUGGUGUAGUGUCGGGGACAUAAUUAAGAAUAGCCUUUCCAGUUUUCUGCUGCUAAGGGAACACAGUAGCCAGCCAGUCCCCUCAUGGUGCCAUUGAUGGGUGUUUUAUUGUUGUCUGAGCUAACAGAUAUUGCCAUCUCAUCAGAAUGGCUGUGACCACUUGCAAGAGACUGUCAGGACCAAACCUGUGGAUGUUCCCUCAGAAGAAGUGGGACGUCUCAUCAGAUCCUUACUUGAGAGUCUACUCCCUCCAUUGCCUCCCUCCUGCCUCUAUGUGAUUCUGCACAAGCCGAACACAGUCUUGCGACCUUGGGAUGUGGUGAAGUCUAUAGAGUGUAUAACCGAAGGGGAGACUCCAUCUGUGUAACUGUGGGAACUCAUCCCUGCUGGGGUACAGCUUUUCAGUGAUGCCGUAGUUUUGGGGUUGCUUACGUUCCUGUAAGUAACACCUCACCCAUGUGAGGCCAACAAACUCAUUGGCUCACCAAGUUAGACUCUCGGCGGAAUCAUUGCUUUGGCCUGUCCUUGAUGCUCUGUCUGGGGGAGAACAUACUUUGUUCAUGUCUCCCCCAGAAAAGUUCAUUCAACAACUGAGUCAAUUUGGACCAAUUUCCAGAAAAUGGAAACAUGUAUGUCACGAGAAUUUAGUGAGUGUUUUAUUUAAAUGAUGUUGCCUUUAGAGUUGAUUUUGAUUUUGGAAUGUAUUUGCCAGGAUGCUGAUGCUUAGACGAACUGAAAAGAAGCCCAUGAUCCGUUCUGUUUUAUAGAGAUGGUCUGCUCAGAGGGUCUUGAACCAACGACCAUAACCCCUUCAAGGGACUGUUAUAAAUGCUAAUAGUGCUGAGGGCUUGGGAGCCUCUUUGACAUUAAAAGAAGUUUCUCUGUCAU
RNAcentral lists this long non-coding RNA (1954 nucleotides) under Mus musculus (house mouse). RNAcentral describes it as "long non-coding RNA chr1:182679938-182681892". The record is from RNAcentral. Lineage: Eukaryota; Metazoa; Chordata; Mammalia; Rodentia; Muridae.